This 224-nucleotide small RNA is filed under the name Staphylococcus aureus. RNAcentral's name for it is "5'UTR". Lineage: Bacteria; Bacillati; Bacillota; Bacilli; Caryophanales; Staphylococcaceae. The record is from RNAcentral.
UUCUAAUAUAGUAUAUAUCAAUUUGAAGUCUCAUGCAUGUUUAGUGCAAUCUACUGACUCUAGCUAAACUAGAUGACAAGUUGUUUAUUUUAGUAGUUUAAUAAUUCAGUUUAUAUAAAUGUAAUGCAUUCCUAACUAAAUUAAAUCAAUUGAAAAUGGAUUAUAACUUUAUGAUACGUACUACUACAAUAAAAUAAUAUAGUGAAUAAUCUACCAUUAGAAAA